Non-coding RNA from Schistosoma margrebowiei, 78 nucleotides. The record is from Rfam. NCBI's taxonomy places the organism in Eukaryota, Metazoa, Platyhelminthes, Trematoda, Strigeidida, Schistosomatidae.
AGCUUUUUGAACCUGUGAUGAGAUUUCGUCAGACACCAACCCGUUAGAGCUGAUCAGACUUCCAAGAUAAGUGAAGUU